This 253-nucleotide ribosomal RNA is filed under the name uncultured bacterium. RNAcentral's name for it is "partial 16S ribosomal RNA". It matches the Rfam family "Bacterial small subunit ribosomal RNA", at positions 524 to 776 of the family's 1533-position model. The record is from RNAcentral.
UACGGAGGUGGCAAGCGUUGUUCGGAAUUACUGGGCGUAAAGGGCGCGUAGGCGGCCUGACAAGUCAGAUGUGAAAGCCCCGGGCUUAACCCGGGAAUUGCAUCUGAAACUGAUUGGCUUGAGUUCUGGAGGGGAUGGUGGAAUUCCCAGUGUAGCGGUGAAAUGCGUAGAUAUUGGGAGGAACACCUGCGGCGAAGGCGGCCAUCUGGACAGUGACUGACGCUGAGGCGCGAAAGCUAGGGGAGCGAACGGG